RNAcentral lists this ribosomal RNA (460 nucleotides) under uncultured bacterium. RNAcentral's name for it is "partial 16S ribosomal RNA". It matches the Rfam family "Bacterial small subunit ribosomal RNA", at positions 338 to 795 of the family's 1533-position model. The record is from RNAcentral.
CCUACGGGCGGCAGCAGUGAGGAAUCUUGGGCAAUGGACGAGAGUCUGAACCAGCCAAGUAGCGUGAAGGAUGACUGCCCUAUGGGUUUAAAACUUCGUUUAUAGAGGAAUAAAACGAGGCACGUGUGCCUUUUUGCAUGUACUUUAUGAAUAAGGAUCGGCUAACCCCGUGCCAGCAGCCGCGGUAAUACGGAGGAUCCGAGCGUUAUCCGGAUUUAUUGGGUUUAAAGGGAGCGUAGAUGGGUUGUUAAGUCAGUUGUGAAAGUUUGCGGCUCAACCGUAAAAUUGCAAUUGAUACUGGCAGUCUUGAGUGCAGAUGAGGUAGGCGGAAUUCGAGGUGUAGCGGUGAAAUGCUUAGAUAUCACGAAGAACCCCGAUUGCGAAGGCAGCUUACUAAACUGUGACUGACAUUGAUGCUCGAAAGUGUGGGUAUCAAACAGGAUUAGAUACCCCAGUAGUC